RNAcentral lists this long non-coding RNA (2763 nucleotides) under Homo sapiens (human). Its description in RNAcentral is "HSALNT0251396". The record is from RNAcentral. Lineage: Eukaryota; Metazoa; Chordata; Mammalia; Primates; Hominidae.
CUUGCAGACUGGUUCCCUCUGCAGGCAAACACGUUGUGAUUAUCUCACGUUGCACAGGGAUAAUAAUUGUCACAGUGUUCGCAGGGAUCAUUCAAAAAUGCACAGCACAGAGACUCAUUAUUCAACUUCACUCUUCCAUACCUAUUAUGAUAUACAUCAUCGGAAUGAUGACUUUCAGGACGAUAUUUCAACAGCACAUGUCUUUCUCUUGAUGUAUUGGGUUUCAUACCAUCGCUUUUAAAGCAACACAGAAUUCCUGGAUGAAACCUCUGGGUGACAGGAGAUACAAGACAGUGAUGCCUCCCAUUCACUUUCCAUCUGUAAAACCUUUCCUGCAGAAACACAAGCCUUAUGUCUAUCCCACAAAGGGGGUGGACUGAACAGGCGGAAAUACAACCCUAAUGUCAAUUCAUCAUCGCAGCUCACACUGGAGAAGUACAUUUUGUGGUUUCCUGAACUUCAACCAGGCAAGCACAGACUGAAGAGAAUAGAGUCAGUACACUCAAAGAUUCUCCCUACAGAAGUGUCUUCUUAUGAGGCCCACCAAAUGCAUGAAGACCAAAAUUGCUUUAUUACAAGUUUUGCAGAUGGUAUCAAGGUUCCCGUCAACAAGGCCAGAUGGAAUCUGAAGCUAGUAAACAACAGCAGAGAAGCAGGGUCCCUAAAACCGAGCCCAGUGCUGUCAUCAUCUGCCGUCCCAGACUGCAGACAGUUGAGGCCUCGGCAGCCAUCCAAUCGCAGGACAUCCUCAAUCCAAAGAUGUCCUCAGUACUGAGAAUCCUUCAUCUGAUGACAUUUCUAAGACUCCAAGCAAGAGAAAGAAGAAAAGAUUAUCAACAUAUGGCUAAGAAACAGUAGUGCCCAAGUGGUCAAACUCAAUGUUAAACAUCUCAGAACCAAGGACUCCCACUGUCUUGGGGGGAAGUGUAAGAGGAAUCCCUGUCCAAUCCCUUCUUCAGCUAGAACAGGUUGUUCCAUUUUCUCUAUCUAGGUGCUUCCCAUUAAAGGAGCUCACUUCUUCCCAAAGCAAAACACACCACAGCUAAAAUAACUUUAGAAUGUUUUUAAAUAUCUAACAAAUUCCAAAUGGAGGACAUUUCCAUCAACACUCCUCCCAUACCCCUCAAUUGCCCAAGGACAAUUCACCAUUUUAAUUACAACUGGGCAGAGGUAGAGUUGAGAAAGAUACUACCACAUUCAAAGCACACACAUAAUAUGUACCACUUCACUGAAUAAGCUCAAAUUCCCAAACCAUUUUACUGAAAAGCCCACUUCACAGAAAGUAAUCAUAAAUCAACUUUUUAUCCUUCUCUGUUCCUUAAAACAUACCCAGUGGGACCACUUAUUCUCCUGCACUAAAGACAAAAGUUGACUCCGUGAAGUCUCUGGUUAUUCUUGUCAUAAAGAGUCCAACUGUCAUUUUAAGUCAUAAAAGACAGUUUUGAUUUGGUAACGGAAGUCUUCAGUGCCAUAUUAUAAUCCAAACUUGGUCUUGAUAUCAAGUUGAAACUUCUUACCCCCUUUAUGUCUGCUGCAAAUGGAAAGCAGAGUGGGAGAAGGGUAUGGUUUCCCAGCCUAGGUUUCCAUGUCCUACCCCUCAGCUCCACAACUACAACUUGUAGUUUCUAAUUCCCCCAGAGUUAGAGGGGAAGGAGGGAAGGAAAGGGAGCGGGAAAGUCCCGGCAUGACUGAUGCUGUCAUGAGCUGGUGUCAGCACUGUUCAAUGCCAGCUGGCAGGACACAUGUUAGAUCUACAAGUGGUUUCCUUAGAAUUGAGGGUUGGGGGGAGGGGAUGGGGUGGAAUGGUCUCCUUUGACUUGAGAAAACAGAGGAAGCACAACUUGUACCUCCACAUAGAUUUUAUUUUGACUUAUUCUCCCCAUGAGGUCACAUCAACAGCUCUCUGACAUUAUCCUUUGAAAGUCAUUCCCAAAUAUCUAAUCCCUGCCCUUUUAUUAUACCCUCUGUGAGCAGUGUUGUUGAUAGUCAUGAUUUCUUUGCCUCACACCCAUUAGGUUGGCUAUCAUCAAAAAAAAAAAAAACAAAAAACAAAACAGAAAACAAAAAGUGUUGCUGAGCACAGAGAAAUUGAAACCCUUUGUGCAUUUGGGUACAGAUGUAAAGUAACGUAGCCAUUUUGGAAGACAAUAUGGAGGUUCCUCAAAAAAUUAAAGAUGGAUGAUCCAGCAAUUCCACUCCUAGAUAUAUACUCAAAAGAAGUGAAAGCACAAGCUCAAACAGAUAUUUACACUUCCAUGUUUAAUAGCAGCAUUAUUCACAGCUACCAGAAGGUAGAAGCCACCCAAGCAUCCAUUGACAGAAGAAUGAACAAGAUGUGGGGUAUAUGUACACAAUGGAUUAUUCAGUCUUAAAAAGGAAAAAAGUUCUGAACAUGCUACAGCAUGGAUGGACCUUGAAAAUAUUUUGCUAAAUCAGCCAGACACCAAAGGGCAAAUACUGUACAAUUCCACUUAUGUGAGGUACUUAGAGUAGUCAAAUUCCCAAAGGCCAAAAAUAGAAUGGCAGUUGCCAGGAGCUGGCAGGAGGAGGGGAAUGAGGAAUUAGUGUUUAAUGGGCACAGAGUCUCAGUUUGGGAAGGUGAAAAAGUUCUGACAAUGGAUUGUGGUGAUGGUUGCACAAUAAUGCAAAUGUACUUGAUACUACUAUACUUAAUACUACUGAAUUGUAUGCUUAAAAUUGUUAAGAUAGUAAAUUGUUAUGUUAUUUUACAAUUAAAAAUAAGAAAUUAAAAGUCCUGCUACC